UGUCGGCACAUUCCUCUUUUUGGAGUGGUGCUCGUUUCUAUUAGAGGAUACCAUCACAAAAAUAUUAUUAGCGGAUUUCACCAAUAUUUAACAUGAGGGCGUCGAAAAUAGCAGAAUUGAGAAUUGUUAAAUGAGAAAAGUGAUGCUAAUUUCAAUGUGCACUUACAGAUUCGCAUAUUUACAAAGCGCAAACGAUUAUGUAUGUAUGUAUAUAAUUUAUAGAUAUUCUCAAUAUAUUUGAUAUCAAAGCAUAUAUGUGAGUAUGUAUAUGUGCAAUUUGACUUGUAUUAUGAGGAAUUCUAUAAAAUUUGUUGAAAUAUGUAAUAAUGUCAUGCAUUAUUGCCUAAAUAUUUAAUUUAUGCACAAAUGUAUGUGUACAUGUAAACAGAUUUUAAAGAACCAUACGCAUAAUUUUCACAUAUUCAUAUAUGUAUGUAAUUUUGUGUGCACGUAAACAAAUUUGAAGGAAUCAUUCGCAUAAAGCUUGUAAAUUCGUCUACACAUAACUUUGUAUGUAAAUAUACUAUAUACAUACACCCGCUGUAACAGAGUUAAAGGGAUGCCCAACUUAUUCCAGUGUGAGAGCGGCUCAAAAUAGGCGUUUUUAUAACAUUUUCUAUUGUCAGAUCGAACAAAAUAAGAGCUUUUGGGCAUUUGAAUUAAAACACCCAACAUUUAUUACGAUUGCAAAUUAUUAUAAUAGGUUGUCAAAAAAGUCUUGCGGUAUUUUCGCUAGUUGGCGCUGAAAGCGCGUAGUUCUAGUUUUAUUCGUCGCAUCGGGUCAUGCUAUACCUUUUUGGAAAGCUCAUUUCUCGCGCUAACACUAAUAUACUGGAUUUUUAAUAUAUGGCGAAACUACUUAAAUCCUUUUUUAUGAUUUUAUGGUAUAUUAAAACAACUGAUUUUCGAUCUAUCAAUAUAAUAUAAUAAGGUGAAUUAAGCCUGUUAGUUCUAAAUUAAUUCUACUAUGCAUCAAAUUGCAAAAAGUUUCAAAAUAAUAUAUACAAUAUUCGCAUUUUCUUUGAUUUUCAUUGUUUUACAUUUUUUAUUAGCAAUCUUGACCGGCGGCAACAAAUCCUUCCGUUCACAUAUGUUUUUGGGAUAAUUUCAAUUUGGCCAAUCAAUCGUUCCAAUUACAAAACGUCAAAACCUACCCAAUCCAGUCAACUCUCAAAGUUCGGUAGGUGAGCGGUUCUCGCAUUUUCAGUGACAGGAGAGUCGGGCGUCUCUUUAUCUUUGCUUAUGAGUGAGCUUGCAUACAUAUCGAUGCAGAUUUUUGCGAGCUGCGUAAAAAUAUUUUAGAAUUACAAAAUAUUCUUUACAUUCCUUGAUAAAUACAGUCAAUUCCGGUCAUGUGCCACAAUCAAAGAUACAGAUUUUUGUGGUUUGUUAAAUAUAAAAAUAUAUAUGGUACAUAAGCGACUGCGGAUACUUAAACGAGUCGUACUUAAAACAAUAAUUUCUAUUUAUUUCAAAAAACAGAACGUGAAAUGCAGCAAGAUACAGGGAAUUAAGAGAGAAUGGCACUUAAGCGGAGUACUACUUAACGGGGAUUGAAUGUACACACAAAUCAGAAGAAUAUUGAAUAUUUUCUGGUAGAACCCCAAAAGGUGAUCUAGUGACCGCUGCUCAGAGCAUACUUAAAUUAUGGAGGGAACACUUCUCCAGCCUGCUGAAUGGCAGUGAACGUACAACGCCAGGAGAAGGCGAACCCGAUUCCCCAAUCUAUGACAAUGGAGCAGACGUUCCAUUGCCCGACCAUGAAAAAGUUCGAAUAACAAUUACCCGUCUGAAGAACAACAAAGCAGCGGGGGCCGAUGGAUUGCCGGCUGAGCUAUUCAAUCCACAAGAAGGGAGACCCCACAAUCUGCGCCAACUACCGUGGGAUAAGCCAUAUAUAAUAUGUGGCGAUGCCGAUGAUAUGAUAUCAUCGGCCUCAACACCCGCCCCGUUAGUUUUGCUUUCUCCAGACUGGACAAGGAAGCAAAGCAAAAGGGGUCUGGUAGUGGACAAGGGCAAAACGAAAUAUCUCCUGUCAUCAAACAAACAGUCGUCACACUCGCGACUUGGCUCUCACGUCCCUGUUGACAGUCCUAACUCUGAAGUUGUAGAUCAUUUCGCCUAUUUAGGAACCAGUAUAAACACCACCAACAAUGUCAGCCUAGAAAUCCAACGCAGGAUAACUCUUGCCAACAGGUGCUACUUCGGACUGAGUAUAAUUGAGAAGUAAAGUUCUCUCUCGAUGAACCAAAACCAAACUCUAUAAGUCGCGCAUAAUUCCCGUCCUGCUAUAUGGUCCAGAGGCUUGGACGAUGACAUCAACUGAUGAGUCGACGUUGCGAGUUUUCGAGAGAAAAGUUCUGCGAAAGAUUUAUGGUCCUUUGCGCGUUGGCCACGGUGAAUAUCGAAUUCGAUGGAACGAUGAGCUGCAAGAGAUAUUUGAUGACAUUGACAUAGUUCAGCGAAUUAAAAAACAGCGGCUACGCUGGCUAGGUCAUAUUGUCCGAAUGGACGAAAACACUCCAGCUCUGAAAGUAUUCGACACAGUACCCCCGGGGAAAGCAGAGGAAGAGGAAGACCUCCACGUCCGUUGGAAGGAUCAAGUGGAGAAGGACCUGGCUUCGCUUGGAAUAUCCAAUUGGCGCUACGUAGCGAAAGAAGAAACGUCUAGCGCACUGUUGUUAACUCGGCUAUAAUCGCGUAAGCGGUGUCUACGCCAGUAAAGAAAAAGAAGAUUUAGUUAGUUACAAUAUACAUGUUUUACUCCAUUUAACUGUACCAAGCAAUAUGGUCCUCUAGAAAACUUUUCCGCUUAUAAGUUUGAAAAUCACAUACAUUAUUGCAGAUUUUAUUUGCAAUGAAUUAUCUAAAAUUAAUUCGUUUAAAUAGAUUUAAGAAAAGAAAAAAACUCUUAUUGUUUUAGUAAAAAAUUAAACCCCAUAAAAGUAACAGGCAUGACAGACGAAUCUGGUAUCGCUAAAAACUACUUUCAAGAACUAUUGGAUUCGUCAUCUGACCUAGGUAUUUUGUUGGGAAAUAAAUUAGAUCCACAACGUCUUCAAAAGUAAAAGGCAAAUGUGAAAUUGCCGUUUUUGUUUUAAAUUAUUUUUUCGCAUUUGUUAUUGUAUGUAACAUGUAUGCAAUUUGCUUGUGGAUGGAAACGGUAAUACAACACCGUUCUAAAAUGUAUUUCUUAAAAAAUUGUAGUUUAAUACAUAUGUUUAUAUCUUUAAAAACUAUUUCCACCCAACUAGAAGAAUUGACUUCAAGAGUUGGUAACAUGGAAAUGAAGAUGGACAGCUUUAUUAAAGAAAAUGUAAGUUUAUGUCCAUAAAAAAUUUUAUUCUUCCAUAAGUAUUCAUCAUUACAAAGAGAACGUAUUGUUUAGUUAUUUUUGUUUAAGCAUCAUUUAAGUAUUCUCUAACUGUACUUGUUCUCUUGCCAGAUAAUUCAAAAAAGCGAAGAAAUGGACCAACGAAAGACCGUCCCGUCCGCGAAUGCAAGCUGCUAAUUCGUAAAGUUUACCAAUCAGUAUACCGACUGACUGGCAAAGAAAUCGACACUGCCCGAACUGAAACUGCUUCCACUCUUAACAACAGCUUUGGAAAUGGACGAAAAACUAAAAUGCGAGGAAUUUGCUACAGCAAAGAAACAGUUUAUUUUAAGUAUGAAAAGCUGUUCUUUUUAUGUAACUGUGACGGUAGGGGAGGUAAGCAACCGCUAUCGAAAUUUCUACUAGUGUCCAACAUAUUAUAUGGUAAACCGUCCACGCUUUACAUACAUAGAUAGUACUACUACAUAAUACCAUCUAUAUGAUUUCUAUUAGUUAGAUUAUAACUAUUAGUUAAUGAGAAGUUGAAGCAACCUGUGGGAAAAAUACUUUUGAAUUUGAGAUGUGCACCAGGGAAAUGAGCCGAGUCGAAUCGACAGACAGCUUAAGGGAUUGUAUAGUUUAUUAUGAACCGGUUCUCAAGCGUGAAAAGACAAAAACGUCGGCUGGCAAGGUUUUGGCAUCGGUCUUUUUAGAUGCACAUAAUAUUCAUCGAAUGAUUACUGAGCGAGUUUUAUGCCAGUCUUUUGGGAUGCACAUGGUAAUAAUAUUCAUCGAAUGACAGUUUUAAUCCAUUUCACUGCGUAUUUGGUUGCAGUUCUAUUCUACCAUUUCCAAUAUUUAGCAAUUUUAUUAUCUUUUAGGAAGGACCACUUUGAAAUUGUACGCAUAUACUUCAGCGUUGUCAUUUGUGUCCUUCGCCCAUAAUCUAGCAAAGUAGCCACAAUGCCUUGACGACGAAAAUGUACAUGCCAUUCAGGAUGCCUGGUUCAGGAGUAACAAUCAAUAUAACUCAUAUAUUACGCAUGCGUGCAUAUUAAAUUUGUGUUCUGCCGCGUUAGCUCUGUGUUGUUAUUUUUUUACUUAUUUCUUUCUUUUUGUAAAGUAAUAAAAUUUUCAAUGAUUCUUUAAUGAAUUUUAAGCAAAUUCUUAUGAUUUGAAAUAUAAUAUUUUAUUAAUGAAUUGUAUAGAAUUUUAACAUAAAUAGACAAUGUCCCAUGUCCUUCUGGUUCACAAAUUUCAGCCAAAUCGGUUCAGCCGGGCUUGAAUUAGAAAUAGUGUAACAAACACGUCUUUUUUUUAUAUAUAGAUUGUUAUUUUCCUCACUAGAGAGCUCCGAUAAUAAAAGCGUCCGAUCGCUGCUAAAUUCAAAGUGCUGUAGGGUGAACCACAACCUCCGAUGAGCUAUUUAUAGGCACGCUCCCGCCGCCCUGGAAGUGCAAGCGUAGAGGCCCAUUCGCAUAAAUCUUUCGUUCGCUUUAUAUAGAGAAACUUUGAUAUUUGAGAAAUUUUGAUACUUAAAAAUUUUAAUUAAACGUGUUAGCUCUCACUUGAUAAAUGCUUUUAAUAAUUCUCUUUUGAAAAUAAUACUAUAAUGCAUCACGUUACAAAACGUUUCGUCAAAUUUACAAUACAUUCGAAUUUAGCAUUUUCUUCAUUUUUCAUUGUUUUACAUAUUAUAGUAGUGGUCUUGAAUGACGGCAACAAAUCCACCGUUUACAUAUCAAUCUCGGGGUACCAAAAAAAAAUUUACAAAUUUUCAUCAAAUCAUCACAGUUGCAAAAAUUUGCAAUAACAUAUCGGAAUAUGUCAACGCAUAUACGGGAAAGGAACACGCGAGCACAACCGGACCAAAUUUGUCAAUCAAACUUUUAUGUGUGAAAUU
Long non-coding RNA from Bactrocera neohumeralis, 5216 nucleotides. RefSeq lists it as uncharacterized. Lineage: Eukaryota; Metazoa; Arthropoda; Insecta; Diptera; Tephritidae. The record is from RefSeq and is a predicted model, not a curated record. The transcript has 3 exons.